Molecule: non-coding RNA, 312 nt
Organism: Cajanus cajan (pigeon pea)
Lineage: Eukaryota; Viridiplantae; Streptophyta; Magnoliopsida; Fabales; Fabaceae
Source: RefSeq, a predicted model, not a curated record
UUGCAGAAUUUGGUGCUUUGAAGAUAGCUAUAUAAGUGGAAAUGAAAUCAGGAUGAACAAUACUCCAGUUUUCAAAGUUCUGAUACAUGGAAAGAGGAGCAUCAUAAGCAGCCUUUUGCUUUCACAUCUUUUCACGCGGUUAGGGUGAAUGGUGAUAUGCUGUUUCUUCCUACUAGCAGGUGCUAUUACAUGGUUUCUUCCACGGUGGCGCCGUGGGUUUUUGUUUAUGGAGUAGUUAACUGGUUUUCAAGUUCUAUCCCUCUUAUGCUUUGUUUGGUAAAAGAAAAAAAAAGGGAAAGGAAUGAAAGGGAA